Molecule: long non-coding RNA, 1505 nt
Organism: Esox lucius (northern pike)
Lineage: Eukaryota; Metazoa; Chordata; Actinopteri; Esociformes; Esocidae
Source: Ensembl
GCAAGAGGGACCGUCAAAAGCCCAACACAAGCAACUUCUUGCUGCCAACGAAGCCCAAAAAAGCUAAGUUUUUUUUUACUAACACACUUAAGUUACGUUCAAAUUCAGCGAAAAUACAAAAAUAAAUGUCUGUCUUAAAGGUGGAAUUACAUUUCAAACCACAUAGGCAGUAGAUCAGCUUUUAUUUAAACUCGUUCUCAGUUAUGUGCCUGAUGGCGAAAAUAAUGCACAAGCCCGUUUAUCAAUCCGCGCUUUUGUCCGUUCUUCUGUUCUCGUGAAUUUGAUUGACGUCAUCUUUCAUGGCCCAAGUACUGUUCCAAUCCAAAGAAUGCAAGUUACCAAGAACGCCUAAAAUGCCGAGAAGGGUCCAACUGCAGCUUGCAGCAGUCGCUCACGCCAGGCCCCCUGCUCACGCCGCGCCCGCGCACGCCGCGCCCCCGCUGGCACGCAACUUCCGACUUUCAGACAUGUACGGUUUGUUUACAAGACGCAGAUGGACCAUAUUGCCAUAUUGAGUCAUGGCGGCAACAACUCCCGGGAAGCACCUGUGACUUAGCUCAUCACAUUGCUCUGGGCCAGUGGGCAACUAAAUUUGGCAAAGACAUUGAGGUGCAUCUCUCCAACCACGGUUUCCCUCAUCAAACUACUGUACAUUCUUGUGGCAUCUUAAUGUUGAUGUAUGCACUCAGCCUGAGCACAGAGGCUCCAUUUUGGUUCAUGGAGAGGGACAUGGCACGCAUCUGAAAAUGGUGGUGCAUUAGUCUAAUGGAACGGUUCCAGAUUGACGGGUGUCGCUACAUGGAGCAGGUUUUCUGAGUCCUACAGAAAAGAAUUCUACACCAUGUACACCGUGGACACCUGUCGUGAAUGUGGAAUGCUUUUCAAAAACUGCACACCUGUCUAGCCUGAAGGUUGUUGCCAGACAUCUGCUCAUCUGCACAAUCCUCUGGAUUGUCACCCUCUUCCUCAUGCUGAGGAUGGUCCUCCACAUCCAAGAUGUCGUCCAUAGAGAGACAAAGGUUGUGGAGAAUGCAGCAGGCAGCAACCACCUUGGGGCACAAACAGAGGACGCAUUACCAGAGCCCUCAGAAAGAUGGAUCUCCAACGGGUUUUCAGCAUGCCAAAUGUGCGCUCGAUUACUCACCUUGGUGUGGUGUACGUAGAACCGGGCCUCAUGGUGUAGAAACGUUAUACAGUUGCAUUAUUUGGUAGUGUUGUUAUUUACUGUGUUAUUUAAGUCCACUACCAAGAUCAUCAUGUAUAAGUCUAAGUCUUUGAUCAGUGUUGAAAACAAAGGGUACUUGGUAGUGAUCUCAGACAUUUGGAGCCCACUGUGUGUUUGUGUGUUUUGGCAACCUUGGAUUUAGGUCCAGUAAAUAUCCCAAGCAGCUACAGGCUGUUGAAACGUGGUGAUAACAGCCACGGGAUGCUGCAGGCAUGGAUAUUCACCAUCUUCUGAAAAUAAUUCUGUUUGAUUUUGUUCAAUAAAGUGUUUUAGACCAUUA